RNAcentral lists this transfer RNA (85 nucleotides) under Schizosaccharomyces pombe (fission yeast). RNAcentral's name for it is "tRNA-Leu". It matches the Rfam family "tRNA". From Rfam's summary of the family: Transfer RNA (tRNA) molecules are approximately 80 nucleotides in length. Their secondary structure includes four short double-helical elements and three loops (D, anti-codon, and T loops). Further hydrogen bonds mediate the characteristic L-shaped molecular structure. tRNAs have two regions of fundamental functional importance: the anti-codon, which is responsible for specific mRNA codon recognition, and the 3' end, to which the tRNAs corresponding amino acid is attached (by aminoacyl-tRNA synthetases). tRNAs cope with the degeneracy of the genetic code in two manners: having more than one tRNA (with a specific anti-codon) for a particular amino acid; and 'wobble' base-pairing, i.e. permitting non-standard base-pairing at the 3rd anti-codon position. Lineage: Eukaryota; Fungi; Ascomycota; Schizosaccharomycetes; Schizosaccharomycetales; Schizosaccharomycetaceae. The record is from RNAcentral.
GCGGCUAUGCCCGAGUGGUGUAAGGGGGCAGAUUUCAGCCCUGCUGUUGUAAAACGCGAGAGUUCGAACCUCUCUGGCCGCACCA